UCGCAAUCUUCUUUAUCGAUUUGAACUCUCAAAAAAAAUUACGCUGUUAUCCCUAAGGUAACUUUUUCUUUUAAUCUAAAUAAUAGGAUCAAAAAAUCAUUAAUUAAUGAUUAAAUAAAAAAAAGUUUAUUAAAUUUUUCUGUCACCCCAACUAAACAAAUUAAUAUUUACAAAAUUUUUAUUCCAAUAAUUUAUUAACAACAAAUUUGUAAAGCUCUAUAGGGUCUUCUUGUCUUCUAUAAUUAUUUAAGCUUUUUCACUUAAAAAUAAAAUUCUAAAAAAAUUUUCUCGAGAGAGCAGGUUUCUCAUCAAUCCCUUCAUUCCAGCUUCUAAUUAAGAAACUAAUUAUUAUGCUACCUUUGCACGGUCAAAAUACCGCGGCCAUUUAAAAUUAAUUCAUUGGGCAGGAGCGACCUUAAAUUAUAAUCAAAAGGAC
Molecule: ribosomal RNA, 436 nt
Filed under: Aphanarthrum bicinctum
Lineage: Eukaryota; Metazoa; Arthropoda; Insecta; Coleoptera; Curculionidae
Description: partial 16S ribosomal RNA
Source: RNAcentral